Molecule: ribosomal RNA, 140 nt
Filed under: uncultured eukaryote
Lineage: Eukaryota
Description: partial 18S ribosomal RNA
Rfam family: Eukaryotic small subunit ribosomal RNA
Source: RNAcentral
UGGUGGAGUGAUUUGUCUGGUUAAUUCCGUUAACGAACGAGACCUCAACCUGCUAAAUAGUUUCAUGUGGCUUCUGUUGCAGGGUUGCUUCUUAGAGGAACUUUUGGUUGGUUAGCCCAAGGAAGUUUGAGGCAAUAACA